GACGAACGCUGGCGGCGUGCUUAACACAUGCAAGUCGAACGGAAAGGCCCUGCUUUUGUGGGGUGCUCGAGUGGCGAACGGGUGAGUAACACGUGAGUAACCUGCCCUUGACUUUGGGAUAACUUCAGGAAACUGGGGCUAAUACCGGAUAGGAGCUCCUGCUGCAUGGUGGGGGUUGGAAAGUUUCGGCGGUUGGGGAUGGACUCGCGGCUUAUCAGCUUGUUGGUGGGGUAGUGGCUUACCAAGGCUUUGACGGGUAGCCGGCCUGAGAGGGUGACCGGCCGGAGGGGAGACGGGAGCCGGCACACGCGAGGAGGGGGGGCGGAAGGGGAGAAUAGUGCAGGGGGGGGGGAGGCGGGGUGGCGAGACGCGGCGUGCGGGCGGUCGGCCGUGGGGUUGUAACCGUGUGGCGCGGGGGACGAGGCGGGGGUGUGGGUAAGGGGAAAAGGAUCACCGGCUAACGACGUGACAGCGGCGGGGGUAAUAAGCGGAAGAGCACACGUCGGCGC
Molecule: ribosomal RNA, 509 nt
Filed under: uncultured bacterium
Lineage: Bacteria
Description: partial 16S ribosomal RNA
Rfam family: Bacterial small subunit ribosomal RNA (bases 20-329)
Source: RNAcentral